UGAGGAACAUGACCUUCGGCUGGGGAUAGCCGGCCCAACGGCCGGGUAAUACCGCGUACGACCACAUGGGGACAUCCCUGAGUGGUGAAAGCAGCAAUGCGCCGAUGGAGUGCCUCGCGGCCUAUCAGCUAGUUGGUGAGGUAACGGCUCACCAAGGCAACAACGGGUAGCUGGUCUGAGAGGAUGGCCAGCCACAUUGGGACUGAGACACGGCCCAGAUCCUACGGG
Molecule: ribosomal RNA, 228 nt
Filed under: uncultured bacterium
Lineage: Bacteria
Description: partial 16S ribosomal RNA
Rfam family: Bacterial small subunit ribosomal RNA
Source: RNAcentral